GACGAACGCUGGCGGCGUGCUUAACACAUGCAAGUCGAACGGAAAGGCCCUGCUUUUGUGGGGUUCUCGAGUGGCGAACGGGUGAGUAACACGGGAGUAACCUGCCCUUGACUUUGGGAUAACUUAAGGAAACUGGGGCUAAUACCGGAUAGGAGCUCCUGCUGCAAGGUGGGGGUUGGAAAGUUUCGGCGGUUGGGGAUGGACUCGCGGCGUAUCAGCUUGUUGGGGGGGUAGUGGCUUACCAAGGCUUUGACGGGUAGCCGGCCUGAGAGGGUGACCGGCCACAUUGGGACUGAGAUACGGCCCAGACUCCUACGGGAGGCAGCAGUGGGGAAUAUUGCACAAUGGGCGGAAGCAUGAUGCAGCAACGCCGCGUGCGGGAUGACGGCCUUCGGGUUGUAAACCGCUUUCGCCUGUGACGAAGCGUGAGUGACGGUAAUGGGUAAAGAAGCACCGGCUAACUACGUG
RNAcentral lists this ribosomal RNA (468 nucleotides) under uncultured bacterium. RNAcentral's name for it is "partial 16S ribosomal RNA". It matches the Rfam family "Bacterial small subunit ribosomal RNA", at positions 28 to 507 of the family's 1533-position model. The record is from RNAcentral.